RNAcentral lists this ribosomal RNA (308 nucleotides) under uncultured Fusibacter sp. Its description in RNAcentral is "bacterial SSU rRNA". It matches the Rfam family "Bacterial small subunit ribosomal RNA", at positions 1077 to 1382 of the family's 1533-position model. The record is from RNAcentral. Lineage: Bacteria; Bacillati; Bacillota; Clostridia; Eubacteriales; Fusibacteraceae.
GGGUUAAGUCCCGCAACCGAGCGCAACCCUUGCCUUUAGUUGCCAGCAGUUCGGGCUGGGCACUCGUAAAGGGACUGCCGGUGUUAAACCGGAGGAAGGUGGGGAUGACGUCAAAUCAUCAUGCCCCUUAUGAUCUGGGCUACACACGUGCUACAAUGGCCGGUACAACGGGCAGCGAAGGAGCGAUCCGGAGCGAAUCCUAAAAAGCCGGUCCCAGUUCGGAUUGCAGGCUGAAACUCGCCUACAUGAAGUUGGAGUUGCUAGUAAUCGCGAAUCAGAAUGUCGCGGUGAAUGCGUUCCCGGGUCUU